Molecule: ribosomal RNA, 484 nt
Filed under: uncultured Bacillota bacterium
Lineage: Bacteria; Bacillati; Bacillota
Description: bacterial SSU rRNA
Rfam family: Bacterial small subunit ribosomal RNA
Source: RNAcentral
GGCAGCAGUGGGGAAUCUUCGGCAAUGGGCGAAAGCCUGACCGAGCAACGCCGCGUGAAUGAUGAAGGCCUUCGGGUUGUAAAAUUCUGUUAUAAGGGAAGAACGACUUUAGUAGGAAAUGGCUAGAGUGUGACGGUACCUUAUGAGAAAGCCACGGCUAACUACGUGCCAGCAGCCGCGGUAAUACGUAGGUGGCGAGCGUUAUCCGGAAUUAUUGGGCGUAAAGAGCGCGCAGGUGGUUGAUUAAGUCUGAUGUGAAAGCCCACGGCUUAACCGUGGAGGGUCAUUGGAAACUGGUCGACUUGAGUGCAGAAGAGGGAAGUGGAAUUCCAUGUGUAGCGGUGAAAUGCGUAGAGAUAUGGAGGAACACCAGUGGCGAAGGCGGCUUCCUGGUCUGUAACUGACACUGAGGCGCGAAAGCGUGGGGAGCAAACAGGAUUAGAUACCCUGGUAGUCCACGCCGUAAACGAUGAGUGCUAAGUGU